RNAcentral lists this ribosomal RNA (468 nucleotides) under uncultured bacterium. Its description in RNAcentral is "partial 16S ribosomal RNA". It matches the Rfam family "Bacterial small subunit ribosomal RNA", at positions 28 to 507 of the family's 1533-position model. The record is from RNAcentral.
GACGAACGCUGGCGGCGUGCUUAACACAUGCAAGUCGAACGGAAAGGCCCUGCUUUUGUGGGGUGCUCGAGUGGCGAACGGGUGAGUAACACGUGAGUAACCUGCCCUUGACUUUGGGAUAACUUCAGGAAACUGGGGCCAAUACCGGAUAGGAGCUCCUGCUGCAUGGUGGGGGUUGGAAAGUUUCGGCGGUUGGGGAUGGACUCGCGGCUUAUCAGCUUGUUGGUGGGGUAGUGGCUUACCAAGGCUUUGACGGGUAGCCGGCCUGAGAGGGUGACCGGCGACAUUGGGACUGAGAUACGGCCCAGACUCCUACGGGAGGCAGCAGUGGGGAAUAUGGCACAAUGGGCGGAAGCCUGAUGCAGCAACGCCGCGUGCGGGAUGACGGCCUUCGGGUUGUAAACCGCUUUCGCCUGUGACGAAGCGUGAGUGACGGUAAUGGGUAAAGAAGCACCGGCUAACUACGUG